UCUUUUUGAGUUGUCAGGAGAGGAGCUGCAGAAGGGAAAAUGGCUGCCGCAACCGCAUCUCCCAUGGCCAGUCAGCUCAAGAGCAGCUUUGCAUCAUCAUCGUCCAGGAGCCUGAUUGCUCCCAAGGGCCUCUCUGGUUCCUCCUUCAGAGCCUUGCCCACCAGGAGGACUCGCUCCUUCACUGUCAAGGCUAUCCAAUCCGAGAAGGUGAGUCUUCUCGCGUCCAUCCUGCCUUGUGUAUCACGAGUCACGAUUCGAUCGAACGUGCUUGUGCCGCGUAAAAUCAAGGAAUUGGUCUUUCAGACAUCUUUAUGUUAUUCUCUAGUCAUCUGACUUGUUUAGCUAGUCUUGGAAGAAGAAAAUGAGACUUGAAGAUAAUGAGUGGAAGUGCCUUCUCUUCCACCAUUCAGUCUAGUUUCUCAUUCUUGGUUCACCCUUCUUAGUCCUUUGGAUCUGUGUAUAUAGAAGAAUAAUUUCACAUGGCAUAGGGUUGCAAGAAGCUGGUCUUUUUGUAUUUGAACUGAUUGAGCUAAUCCGAGAGUAAAGGUCACCGUGAUUGGAUUUCUGCUGUGUGAUUUUUUCUGUAGUGAUAAUUUUUUGUAGCUUGCUAAAAGAGUCAACUAAGAGAUUAUAGCUUCCAAUAUGGAAGAGGGGUGAGGGGUUCGAAUCUCACUUCUUUAUCGAGAAGGUGAGAUGGGAACGAUUUAGUUUCAAAUAUAAGUUUUGAUCUCAUGCCCUUGCAAGAAAGCGAGACAAAAGUCUGAGAGUGAAUUAGAGUAGGAGUAGAGUAGGAUCGACAAAAAACAAAAAGAAAAACUAAGAGAUUAUAGCAUGCUAUCAUUCAUUUGCAAAUACAUAUUCUCUGAGUGACUUCAUUCACUCAUUACAUUAGUUGAUGGGUUUCAAUUCCUGCAUCUACCUUUUGCAUGCAGCCAACCUUCCAAGUGGUUCAACCCCUCAAUGGUGACCCUUUCAUUGGAAGCCUCGAGACUCCGGUCACAUCCAGCCCGCUCAUUGCAUGGUACCUCUCCAACCUCCCCGCCUACAGGACUGCCGUGAACCCGCUCCUCCGAGGCGUCGAGGUGGGCCUCGCCCACGGAUUCCUCUUGGUGGGCCCUUUCGUCAAGGCCGGCCCUUUGAGGAACACGGAGUAUGCAGGAGCAGCAGGAUCAUUGGCCGCCGGAGGCCUGGUUGUGAUCCUGAGCAUCUGCUUGACAAUGUAUGGGAUCGCCUCAUUCAAUGAAGGAGAGCCCUCGACAGCACCGUCGCUAACCUUGACCGGGAGGAAGAAGGAGCCU
Molecule: long non-coding RNA, 1298 nt
Filed under: Eucalyptus grandis
Lineage: Eukaryota; Viridiplantae; Streptophyta; Magnoliopsida; Myrtales; Myrtaceae
Description: long non-coding RNA (EGRA_LNC006501)
Source: RNAcentral